This is a long non-coding RNA of Sapajus apella (tufted capuchin), 356 nucleotides long. RefSeq lists it as uncharacterized. Lineage: Eukaryota; Metazoa; Chordata; Mammalia; Primates; Cebidae. The record is from RefSeq and is a predicted model, not a curated record. The transcript has 3 exons.
UGGGAGCCAGCCCUGUGGGCCUGAGCCCUUAUCCUUUGAGGUCUGCACUAACUCUGAUUAGUACCAGAAUCCAAUGGAAUUGUAUGAUGUGCAGCUGGCAUUGGAGAAUUUUCAAUAUGGGACAAAAAUUCCACACAUCUAGUGUGUCAGAAGGAAGUGUUCUGGAAGUAUGAAAUUUUGUCUUAAUAAAAAUGUUUUCUCUAUUUCUAUGUUUCUGUAGCCCUCACUUUCUGAAGCUACCUGCUCUCCAGUAUCCCUUCUGGCUCAUAGCUGGAAGGAGCUUGCCUUGAGUCUCAAAUGAGACUUUGGACUUCAAACGUUUGAGUUGCUGCUGAAACAGGUAACACUUUGCAGCU